Molecule: non-coding RNA, 64 nt
Organism: Myotis brandtii (Brandt's bat)
Lineage: Eukaryota; Metazoa; Chordata; Mammalia; Chiroptera; Vespertilionidae
Source: Rfam
GGCCUCCCUCUGUGGGGCAAUCGAUCAAGGGGCUCCCAGAUUGAUCACCCUGCAGAGGGAGGCC